Micropterus dolomieu (smallmouth bass) is the source of this 2132-nucleotide long non-coding RNA. RefSeq lists it as uncharacterized. The transcript is spliced from 9 exons. The record is from RefSeq and is a predicted model, not a curated record. NCBI's taxonomy places the organism in Eukaryota, Metazoa, Chordata, Actinopteri, Centrarchiformes, Centrarchidae.
GAGCAAACCCUACAAAGAUGUAACACAUUGUGGAUUACAGUACAGUAAUGUAUUACAGUCAUGUAGCACUUCAUUUAUUGAUGCUGCUGUUGUUUCUCCAGCUACGAGACAGGUCCUGCAACAUCGACUCACUUGAAGAGAAAACCUUUGCAAGUCCCAGCUCCAGCAUUGUCUCGCAUUGGUGCUUCUAGUGGAACAGACCGAGAUGAGCAUCUUGAUGUCAUUCCAGAAGCCACAAAAAUUCAGGGCCUUGAACAAAGCUUACAUGACAUGAGCAUUGUUGAGGAGGACUUGGAGGAAAAUGUUUUCAGUGACCCAAUGAACACAUAAAGCUACUCCCUUGAAAGAGAUGAUGGACAGAAUGGUUUCAGCUCUGAUGAAGAGGAUCUUCCACCGAUUUCAAUACAGUGUGUUAUUUGUCAGUCUCAGUUUGCAAUUGUUUUGUGGUGUUUGUUUACUACAGAUUUUUGUGCCUCAGUAGAAUGAGUGGAGCACUGAAGAAAGCACACUAUCGAUGGACUUCCUUGCCUGCACAUGAAGACCCUCCUGAUGAGCCUUCUCCCUGAGAUCAUGACCCUGUUUUCCCAGAACCACAGAAGGUCCUUUGUGAAGAUGACAUCAUAGGUGUCAGAGCCUCCAGAGUGUACGAGAACUGCUUAAGACAACUGGCUACAUUUCUGAUCCUGCCUGUGGAUAAAUGCACUGGCCUUCUGAGGACUGGUGGUGGUUCUCCUCUGUGACUUUUAGAUCUGUCCUAAUGGACACAGCUUGUGGAGGUGGAAUUCCCAGCCUGUGAUGAAGUUUGGGAUGCAAGCUGGAGAUUUUCUCUUGUCCACCAACAUUUUGUUGUCUGGCAACAACUACGCAAAGGUUGCCCUCUUGUUCAAAUUCAUGAACAUGGGGAUGGUGAACAGGAAGACUUUCUUCUCCAUUCAGGACAUUUACUGCGUCAAUACAAUAAAGGACUUCUGGGAAGAGAGAAGGACAGAGGUUCUUUGUGGCCUUCAAGGGAAAGAUGUUGUUGUCCUAGGCAGCAAAGAUAAAAGGAGAGUCGAUCCUCUUCAACUGGCUGAAGAACAUAGUCAACCAUUUUCGGUGGUGUUGCAAGACUGCCGACACACGUGGGCAGUUUCUUGCAUUAUUGGUUGGCAUCCUUCACCAUGUCUGCAACAUUCACACCUGGACUACGGGAAGUUGCAAACACGGGCACCUUGAAUCGGAGCAACUGCGGGGAAAGAUGUGGAUCCAGAGAGACUCCCAGUGCCACAAAGCUUUAGUGGAUCUAGUUCUCAAUAAGAGGUGGCAGAAAGAUGUUCACAAAUAUCUGCGAUUCAGAUCGACUGCAGACCUAGAGUCAUUCCAGAAUCAUAUCCUGAUGUAUCACAGCAAGCGCUUUGCUUUCAGCCCCCCAGUUUAUGAGGCACGAGUUCUGCUUGCUGCUUUGGACUACAAUUUCCACCAGAACCGACCAACAAUGAAAACGUUGGACGGCAAAGAGACUUUCAAAAGAUUGCAUAAGAAGAACGCUCGAAGAUACAGCGUAUAUGCCUUGAAAUCUGAAAAAACCUACGGAUACAUUUCCUAGUUGCAAAGAAGGAUUGUGAAGAACAGACUCACAAGUGGAGUGGGGAUGCCUAGAAGGAGGAGCCUUCUCCCAGAUGACCCCAGACAGCUUGGUUUGGUGCCCCCUGUACCUGCACCAGCCACAUCAGACUUGUUGCAGAGACAAGUCAGAAGAGGUCUUGGACCGUUAUUCCAACCAGCAUCUGAUGUGGAAGGAUCCCCACAGGAGAUCUGCUUGCAUGUGUCCUGGUACUUGUCAGGCAGGGAAAGAACUUCAGUUCACUGACAAAGUCAUAGCUUUUACUCUUCAAAAAGAGAAAUUUAUUAACAUUAAAUUCUGUUCCUACCCUCCUCCAGUGGUUAUUUCAUGUGUUUCAUCUUAUUCUGCUAAGUCCACUGUGACCAGCGCAUAUUAUUUUUUGUAGGUUUGCAGUUUACAGUUUGAACAGUAAUGAUAAGUAAGGCUACAGCUGUCCCCUAUUAUGUAAAUAUAAAUAACUAAAAUUGGUAUUGAAAAGGUUACGGCAAAGUUUGAAAUUCUAAACACAUGUUCAAAUGUAUAUAAUGAA